CGGAUGUUAGCGGCGGACGGGUGAGUAACACGUGGGUAACCUUGCCUUGUAAGACUGGGAUAACUCCGGGAAACCGGAGCUAAUACCGGAUAGUUCCUUGAACCGCAUGGUUCAAGGAUGAAAGACGGUUUCGGCUGUCACUUACAGAUGGACCCGCGGCGCAUUAGCUAGUUGGUGGGGUAAUGGCUCACCAAGGCGACGAUGCGUAGCCGACCUGAGAGGGUGAUCGGCCACACUGGGACUGAGACACGGCCCAGACUCCUACGGGAGGCAGCAGUAGGGAAUCUUCCGCAAUGGACGAAAGUCUGACGGAGCAACGCCGCGUGAGUGAUGAAGGUUUUCGGAUCGUAAAGCUCUGUUGUUAGGGAAGAACAAGUGCGAGAGUAACUGCUCGCACCUUGACGGUACCUAACCAGAAAGCCACGGCUAACUACGUGCCAGCAGCCGCGGUAAUACGUAGGUGGCAAGCGUUGUCCGGAAUUAUUGGGCGUAAAGGGCUCGCAGGCGGUUUCUUAAGUCUGAUGUGAAAGCCCCCGGCUCAACCGGGGAGGGUCAUUGGAAACUGGGAAACUUGAGUGCAGAAGAGGAGAGUGGAAUUCCACGUGUAGCGGUGAAAUGCGUAGAGAUGUGGAGGAACACCAGUGGCGAAGGCGACUCUCUGGUCUGUAACUGACGCUGAGGAGCGAAAGCGUGGGGAGCGAACAGGAUUAGAUACCCUGGUAGUCCACGCCGUAAACGAUGAGUGCUAAGUGUUAGGGGGUUUCCGCCCCUUAGUGCUGCAGCUAACGCAUUAAGCACUCCGCCUG
RNAcentral lists this ribosomal RNA (806 nucleotides) under Bacillus safensis. Its description in RNAcentral is "bacterial SSU rRNA". It matches the Rfam family "Bacterial small subunit ribosomal RNA", at positions 86 to 875 of the family's 1533-position model. Lineage: Bacteria; Bacillati; Bacillota; Bacilli; Caryophanales; Bacillaceae. The record is from RNAcentral.